Molecule: ribosomal RNA, 510 nt
Filed under: uncultured bacterium
Lineage: Bacteria
Description: partial 16S ribosomal RNA
Rfam family: Bacterial small subunit ribosomal RNA
Source: RNAcentral
GACGAACGCUGGCGGCGUGCUUAACACAUGCAAGUCGAACGAAGAGCGAUGGAAGCUUGCUUCUAUCAAUCUUAGUGGCGAACGGGUGAGUAACGCGUAAUCAACCUGCCCUUCAGAGGGGGACAACAGUUGGAAACGACUGCUAAUACCGCAUACGAUCUAAUCUCGGCAUCGAGGAUAGAUGAAAGGUGGCCUCUACAUGUAAGCUAUCACUGAAGGAGGGGAUUGCGUCUGAUUAGCUAGUUGGAGGGGUAACGGCCCACCAAGGCGAUGAUCAGUAGCCGGUCUGGGAGGAUGAACGGCCACAUUGGGACUGAGACACGGCCCAGACUCCUACGGGGGGCAGCAGUGGGGAAUCUUCCGCAAUGGACGAAAGUCUGACGGAGCAACGCCGCGUGAGCGAUGACGGCCUUCGGGUUGUAAAGCUCUGUUAAUCGGGACGAAAGGCCUUCUUGCGAAUAGUGAGAAGGAUUGACGGUACCGGAAUAGAAAGCCACGGCUAACUACGUG